UACGUAGGGGGCAAGCGUUGUCCGGAAUCAUUGGGCGUAAAGAGCGUGUAGGCGGCCAGAUAAGUCCGCUGUGAAAACUCGAGGCUCAACUUCGAGCUGUCGGUGGAAACUAUUUGGCUAGAGUCCGGAAGAGGAGAGUGGAAUUCCUGGUGUAGCGGUGAAAUGCGCAGAUAUCAGGAAGAACACCCGUGGCGAAGGCGGCUCUCUGGUACGGAACUGACGCUGAGACGCGAAAGCGUGGGGAGCAAACGGG
Molecule: ribosomal RNA, 253 nt
Filed under: uncultured bacterium
Lineage: Bacteria
Description: partial 16S ribosomal RNA
Rfam family: Bacterial small subunit ribosomal RNA
Source: RNAcentral